RNAcentral lists this ribosomal RNA (1045 nucleotides) under bacterium. RNAcentral describes it as "bacterial SSU rRNA". It matches the Rfam family "Bacterial small subunit ribosomal RNA", at positions 21 to 1070 of the family's 1533-position model. The record is from RNAcentral.
UGCUCAGGACGAACGCUGGCGGCGUGCUUAACACAUGCAAGUCGAACGAUGAUCAGGAGCUUGCUCCUGUGAUUAGUGGCGAACGGGUGAGUAACACGUGAGUAACCUGCCCCUGACUCUGGGAUAAGCGUUGGAAACGACGUCUAAUACUGGAUAUGAUCACUGGUCGCAUGGCCUGGUGGUGGAAAGAUUUUUUGGUUGGGGAUGGACUCGCGGCCUAUCAGCUUGUUGGUGAGGUAAUGGCUCACCAAGGCGACGACGGGUAGCCGGCCUGAGAGGGUGACCGGCCACACUGGGACUGAGACACGGCCCAGACUCCUACGGGAGGCAGCAGUGGGGAAUAUUGCACAAUGGGCGAAAGCCUGAUGCAGCAACGCCGCGUGAGGGAUGACGGCCUUCGGGUUGUAAACCUCUUUUAGUAGGGAAGAAGGGAGCUUCGGUUCUUGACGGUACCUGCAGAAAAAGCACCGGCUAACUACGUGCCAGCAGCCGCGGUAAUACGUAGGGUGCAAGCGUUGUCCGGAAUUAUUGGGCGUAAAGAGCUCGUAGGCGGUUUGUCGCGUCUGCUGUGAAAUCCCGAGGCUCAACCUCGGGCUUGCAGUGGGUACGGGCAGACUAGAGUGCGGUAGGGGAGAUUGGAAUUCCUGGUGUAGCGGUGGAAUGCGCAGAUAUCAGGAGGAACACCGAUGGCGAAGGCAGAUCUCUGGGCCGUAACUGACGCUGAGGAGCGAAAGCAUGGGGAGCGAACAGGAUUAGAUACCCUGGUAGUCCAUGCCGUAAACGUUGGGCGCUAGAUGUAGGGACCUUUCCACGGUUUCUGUGUCGUAGCUAACGCAUUAAGCGCCCCGCCUGGGGAGUACGGCCGCAAGGCUAAAACUCAAAGGAAUUGACGGGGGCCCGCACAAGCGGCGGAGCAUGCGGAUUAAUUCGAUGCAACGCGAAGAACCUUACCAAGGCUUGACAUACACCGGAAACGGCCAGAGAUGGUCGCCCCCUUGUGGUCGGUGUACAGGUGGUGCAUGGUUGUCGUCAGCUCGUGUCGUGA